CCUACGGGUGGCAGCAGUAGGGAAUAUUGCUCAAUGGGGGAAACCCUGAAGCAGCAACGCCGCGUGGAGGAUGAAGGUUUUCGGAUUGUAAACUCCUUUUGUUAGAGAAGAAAAUGACGGUAUCUAACGAAUAAGCACCGUCUAACUCCGUGCCAGCAGCCGGGGGAAUACGGAGGGAGCAAGCGUUACUCGGAAGCACUGGGCGUAAAGAGCGCGUAUGGGGGAUAGCAAGUCAGAUGGGAAAUCCUAUGGCUUAACCAUAGAACUGCAUUUGAAACUGUUAUUCUAGAGUAUGGGAGAGGUAGGUGGAAUGCUUGGUGUAGGGGUAAAAUCCGUAGAGAUCAAGAGGAAUACUCAUUGCGAAGGCGACCUGCUAGAACAUAACUGACGCUGAUGCGCGAAAGCGUGGGUAGCAAACAGGAUUAGAUACCCUGGUAGUC
This 440-nucleotide ribosomal RNA is filed under the name uncultured bacterium. Its description in RNAcentral is "partial 16S ribosomal RNA". It matches the Rfam family "Bacterial small subunit ribosomal RNA", at positions 338 to 795 of the family's 1533-position model. The record is from RNAcentral.